CCUUACCCUACUUAGACAUCUCAGUGGCUCCCUAUGACCUGCUGAACAAAGUCGAAACCCAGCUCUGCCUUCAAGCCACAAUGUCAAAAAUUGCUCCUCCCCGGUUCCUCAAGGGAAACAUUCCCUUACACCCUGCCAAUUUACUUCGAAUUCCCAGAGCACACCUUUAGCUCUUGGCCUUUCAUCUGGACCUCAUACUCUCCUAGGAGUGAGCCUUCUUCUCUCCUCUAUUUGGUCUGGAAGCUCCUUGAGGAUAAAGAGCAAAGCCUGAGUCAUCUUCGAUUCCUCUCCCCUGCCCCCCACAGAGCCUUGCUUUGAGCAGGCCCCCAGCUGGUGUUUUCUGCUAUGGAGCAGUCACCUUUGGUUGUCCUUCUUAGCCUGGUUAGGAGUUCUGACUGACAACCAAGUGCCACCUGGGAGCUCAGAUUCCUGAAGAAUGAACGUGAAAUGACUCAGCCCAGGGGGACCUGGAUCCUCUUCCUCCCCUGACUUCCACACAUGGGCCCUUCAUUUAUUCCUUAAGUUUUAGGGAUGUCUUUGAUUCUAUACAACACUGAUUUCCUAAUACAUCUCCUCCCUUCCCUAACUAGCUAAGGACUACUAGUACAGAGGAUUGAGCCAUAACCACCUUUUGACAGAUGUUGGUGUGUCAUUGAGGUUUGCCCAGAAUCCUUAGAGACUGUUCAUUACUGUCACUGACUCCUUCCCGUGUGCUCUGUGUCUAAGAAGAGAAAAAGCCUUAGCCUUGUGAGUAGAUGAACAUUUGGCUACAUCCCUCCACAUUUGUACCAGCACAGCCAAGCCACCAUUCCAGAGAAUGUAAACUUUGCAUGAAUGUUGAGCUUUAAAAAACAAACCAUGUGACUAACCCAGGGGGUGAGUACCUGAGCCAGGUGGGGCACUUUACAAAUUCCCUGACCCUUGUCCUCCGAUUUGUACCUAGAGGCCUUCAACAAUGGUGAAUGUCAUCCUAUCUCCUGAGAAGUCACAUUCCUUUUUGGGGACAGCUCUCAUUAGGAUGUUUUCCUAUAUUGAGCUGGACUUAAUUGCCUAUAAUUAAUUGCUACCCAUUGGGUCUAAUUCAUGGGGUCUUUGGGUUUCUGAGCUUGAGGCUACCUCCGAGUCCAUCUGAUUGAUCACUUUAUUUUACAUUUUUUAACAGAUAAAUUCAUAGGACGUGAGUUGACAUUCUGCCCCAUCACUUACUAACUUGUCUGAACCUAGCCUAAUUAUCUCCCCUCCUUGGUCCUCUUUCAACUCUAGAUUUCUGAUUCAAAUAAACUGAAGCCUAGAGAAGGCAAGAGACUUGCCUAUGGUGACUCAGUUAGGCGGUAGCAGAGUUAAGAUUCAACCCCAUGUCCUGGGACUCUGACUUAGAACAAAUCUAAUCUCAGGUUUUCAAGGAGUUUCAGACCACUAUUAUAUACCCCCGAGUCUUCUCUUCUCCAGGCUAGACACCCCAUCUCCUACAUCAGCAGAUCAUUGGAUAGCAAGACCCUGGCCUGGUCUCCCAUCUCUCAAUGCUGAUGGAAAUCUACAAAGUCUUCUAGUAGACAACUGCUUGAAUGCUGGAGCCCGAAGGGACAAGAAUGAACACAAAGAAGUUGGGAUUUGACCCUAAUUGGCACACAGGAGCUGUCCUAAAGGAGAAGUCCAAACAAAACGGUGUCUCCAACACUCAGAGUGCCCUGGGGAGCUCAAUCAGGGUGGGGUGCACAGGGUACUGCAGGACAUGCCUGUGCAUCAGAAAUGAGACCAUUAGUAAUUCAAAAGGAACAAUAUCUCCAGAGAAAUUUUCCUGAAAAGUUGGAGGCAGAAUUGGCUGAACAGAGCACCAGUGUGUGUGGGGUUAAUAUCUUAGGCACAAAAUAAAGCAAUCUUGU
This is a non-coding RNA of Phascolarctos cinereus (koala), 1883 nucleotides long. The record is from RefSeq and is a predicted model, not a curated record. NCBI's taxonomy places the organism in Eukaryota, Metazoa, Chordata, Mammalia, Diprotodontia, Phascolarctidae.